Molecule: long non-coding RNA, 1733 nt
Filed under: Homo sapiens (human)
Lineage: Eukaryota; Metazoa; Chordata; Mammalia; Primates; Hominidae
Description: HSALNT0154650
Source: RNAcentral
GUUUGUAGAUCUUCUGCAAGGAGAACGGCAUUGUUAACUACCUACAGGAAGUGUCUCAGAUUAACAGACGUGUGUAGGAUUUCAGUCCCAUUUGAAUACACCCGAUGGAUGUACGACCUUGAGAAAUUUACUUAACACUUCCAGGUCAGCCCGGCGUGGUGGCUUAUGCCUGUAUUUCCAGCACUUGGGGAGGCCAAGCCGGGUGGAUCACGAGGUCAGGAGUCCGAGACCAGCCUGGCCAACAUGGUGAAAACCUGUCUCUACUAAAGAUACAAAAAUUAUCUGGGUGUGGUGGUGGGCGCCUGCAAUUCCAGCUACUCGGGAGGCUGAGGCAGGAGAAUCAUUUGAACCUGGGAGGCAGAGGUUGCAGUGAGCCAAGAUCACACCAUUGCACUCCAGCGGGGGCAACAGGGCUAGACUGCCUCUCAAAACAAACAAACAAACAAACAAACAAACAAAAACAUUUCGGGGUCAAAUGUUUGUCACCUAAAAACAAAGCCAUUGAGCAUAAGAAGAACAUAAUGGACUUUGGGGACUCAGGAGGAAAGUGUGGGAAGGGGAUGAGGGAUAAAAGACGACAAAUAUGGUGCUGUGUAUACUGCUCUGGUGAUGGGUGCACCAAAAUCUCACAAAUCACCACAAAAGAACUUACUCAUGUAACCAAAUACCACCUGUUUCCCAAUAACCUAUGGAAAUAAAAAAAAUUUUAAAAAAACCAAAGCCAUUGAGUAAGAUAUUUGCUUUCAUUUACAUCUAAUAUUCAGAGUAAAAGAGUCUAUAAACCGAAUACUACCUAACACUGCAGAAUUAAACUAUGUUCACGUAACUAAUCUUCAACAUUCCCUAAUCCUCCAUCCUACAAACAACACUCCUGUCCAUGUAGCUUAACAAUAUUGGCUGAAUUAAUUAUCAGAAGAUAGUAUAGUAUGCAAUAAAAACAAUGCUCAUGAUUCUUCAGGCUUUCUGCAUCCACAGCCUUUAAAAUUUGGCUCUGUUUCUCUAAUUCUUGAAUCUGGACAACUAGAGUUGUCACCUGUUUUGACCAAUAGGUUGCCGUAGAAUUGACAUGCUGUGACUUCCAUAACCCACUCACCAAAAGAUGUUGUGUGUUUCCACUCUCUCUCCUGGAAACCAGACAAGUGCCAGGAUAAUCAGAUAAGUCUGGUGGACUGGAGAAGAAGAGACCACAUAUAACAGAACUGAACCAUUCCAGCUGAAGGCAUCUUAGAUAAACUAGCCCUCAGGCAAUCUAGCAGUUGACCACAAUUGCAUGAGCGAACUCAGAGGAGAUCAGAAGAGCUUCUCAACAGAGCCCAGAGUAAAUCAUUGACUCAGAGAAUUGUGAGAUAACUUAAAGAUGCUGCUUAAUGCCCCGAAGUUGGAGUGUUUUGUUACACACCAAAAGUCAACUGAUACAUGGAGCUGUCUACUUGACUUUUUUAAAAUGAAAAUCUUCACACAUUUCAAGACUCCUAUCUGAUUCAGUUUUUUCAAUAAUGUCUGCUCUAGUAAUUUCAAUCUACAUUGAACAUAUUCAUUUAUUUAUUGGACAAACAUUUUGUAACUGUUCAUUAGGUUUUCUUUUUUACUUGCACUAUACUUUUGUCCUUUAUCACAUUAAAUACUGCCUACAUUAGAUUAUCUGUUAGCAUCUUACCAUAUAUUAGGCCAUUUUCUGUCUCAUAGCAAGUAGAAGGCUAAAAUCCACAUUUCCUAGACUUCUUUAUCAUCCC